GGGUUAGUAGGUUGGUCAUGCCUCUGUUAUGUACUGGUCUCACUGAUUCCUCCUUCCUGAUGAGCCGUAAUGCCAUUAAUUUGGUGUUGCGGGGAAUUUGGACUGUUACUUUGAGAAAAUUAGAGUGUUUAAAGCAAGCUAACGCUUGAAUACAUUAGCAUGGAAUAAUGAAAUAGGACGCGUGUCUCUAUUUUGUUGGUUUCUAGGAUUGACGUA
Molecule: ribosomal RNA, 216 nt
Filed under: Campeiostachys nutans
Lineage: Eukaryota; Viridiplantae; Streptophyta; Magnoliopsida; Poales; Poaceae
Description: Elymus nutans partial small subunit ribosomal RNA
Rfam family: Eukaryotic small subunit ribosomal RNA
Source: RNAcentral